RNAcentral lists this ribosomal RNA (500 nucleotides) under uncultured bacterium. RNAcentral's name for it is "partial 16S ribosomal RNA". It matches the Rfam family "Bacterial small subunit ribosomal RNA", at positions 29 to 523 of the family's 1533-position model. The record is from RNAcentral.
AUUGAACGCUGGCGGCAUGCCUUACACAUGCAAGUCGAACGGCAGCACGGGAGCAAUCCUGGUGGCGAGUGGCGAACGGGUGAGUAAAGUAUCGGAACGUGCCCAGUCGUGGGGGAUAACGCAGCGAAAGCUGUGCUAAUACCGCAUACGAUCUAAGGAUGAAAGCGGGGGAUCGCAAGAACUCGCGCGAUUGGAGCGGCCGAUAUCAGAUUAGCUAGUUGGUGGGGUAAAGGCCCACCAAGGCGACGAUCUGUAGCUGGUCUGAGAGGACGACCAGCCACACUGGGACUGAGACACGGCCCAGACUCCUACGGGAGGCAGCGGUGGGGAAUAUUGGACAAUGGGCGAAAGCCUGAUCCAGCAAUGCCGCGUGCAGGAAGAAGGCCUUCGGGUUGUAAACUGCUUUUGUACGGAGCGAAAAGGUCUCCUCUAAUACGGGGGGCUCAUGACGGUACCGUAAGAAUAAGCACCGGCUAACUACGUGCCAGCCGCCGCCGUAA